UUGCUGAAGUUAGUAAAGUGGCGCACGGGUGAGUAACGCGUGGGUAAUCUUCCCCCGAAUUGGGGAUAACAUUGCGAAAGCGAUGCUAAUACCGGAUAAUAUCUUAAAUACCCUGGUAAUUAAGAUCAAAGGUGGCCUCUACAUGUAAGCUACUGUUUGGGGAUGAGCCCGCGUACCAUUAGCUUGUUGGUAGGGUAACGGCCUACCAAGGCUGCGAUGGUUAGCUGGUCUGAGAGGAUGAUCAGCCACACUGGAACUGACACACGGUCCAGACUCCUACGGGAGGCAGCAGUGAGGAAUUUUGCGCAAUGGGGGAAACCCUGACGCAGCAACGCCGCGUGAGUGAUGAAGGCUUUCGGGUCGUAAAGCUCUGUCAAGUGGGAAGAAACCACGUGGUGCUAAUAUCACCAUGUGCUGACGGUACCACUGAAGGAAGCACCGGCUAACUCCGUGCCAGCAGCCGCGGUAAUACGGGGGGUGCAAGCGUUAUUCGGAAUUACUGGGCGUAAAGAGCGCGUAGGCGGUCUUUUAAGUCAGGUGUGAAAGCCCGGGGCUCAACCCCGGAAGUGCACUUGAAACUAAGGGACUUGAGUAUGGGAGAGGGAAGUGGAAUUCCUGGUGUAGCGGUGAAAUGCGUAGAUAUCAGGAGGAACACCGGUGGCGAAGGCGACUUCCUGGACCAAUACUGACGCUGAGGCGCGAAGGCGUGGGGAGCAAACAGGAUUAGAUACCCU
This 734-nucleotide ribosomal RNA is filed under the name uncultured bacterium. RNAcentral describes it as "bacterial SSU rRNA". It matches the Rfam family "Bacterial small subunit ribosomal RNA", at positions 77 to 788 of the family's 1533-position model. The record is from RNAcentral.